Molecule: ribosomal RNA, 301 nt
Filed under: uncultured bacterium
Lineage: Bacteria
Description: partial 16S ribosomal RNA
Rfam family: Bacterial small subunit ribosomal RNA
Source: RNAcentral
CAGUCGCCGCGGGAAUACGUAGGGUGCAAGCGUUAAUCGGAAUUACUGGGCGUAAAGCGUGCGCAGGCGGUUAUAUAAGUCAGAUGUGAAAUCCCCGGGCUCAACCUGGGAACUGCAUUUGAGACUGUAUGGCUAGAGUGUGUCAGAGGGGGGUAGAAUUCCACGUGUAGCAGUGAAAUGCGUAGAUAUGUGGAGGAAUACCGAUGGCGAAGGCGGCCCCCUGGGAUAACACUGACGCUCAUGCACGAAAGCGUGGGUAGCAAACAGGAUUAGAUACCCCCGUAGUCCCUGUCUCUUAUAC